ACGAACGCUGGCGGCAGGCUUAACACAUGCAAGUCGAGCGCAUCCUUCGGGGUGAGCGGCCGACGGGUGAGUAACGCGUGGGAAUCUACCUUUUGCUACGGAAUAGCUCCGGGAAACUGGAAUUAAUACCGUAUGUGCCCUUAGGGGGAAAGAUUUAUCGGCAAGAGAUGAGCCCGCGUUGGAUUAGCUAGUUGGUGGGGUAAAGGCCUACCAAGGCGACGAUCCAUAGCUGGUCUGAGAGGAUGAUCAGCCACAUUGGGACUGAGACACGGCCCAAACUCCUACGGGAGGCAGCAGUGGGGAAUAUUGGACAAUGGGCGCAAGCCUGAUCCAGCCAUGCCGCGUGAGUGAUGAAGGCCUUAGGGUUGUAAAGCUCUUUCACCGGAGAAGAUAAUGACGGUAUCCGGAGAAGAAGCCCCGGCUAACUUCGUG
RNAcentral lists this ribosomal RNA (432 nucleotides) under uncultured bacterium. RNAcentral's name for it is "partial 16S ribosomal RNA". It matches the Rfam family "Bacterial small subunit ribosomal RNA", at positions 29 to 507 of the family's 1533-position model. The record is from RNAcentral.